Molecule: non-coding RNA, 393 nt
Organism: Salvelinus sp. IW2-2015
Lineage: Eukaryota; Metazoa; Chordata; Actinopteri; Salmoniformes; Salmonidae
Source: RefSeq, a predicted model, not a curated record
CACAGAAUGGUUCCAAWCGUUUWUCRACCAUUCAUUUUUUCACAUACCGAAUUUUACAAACACUUCAAAUUAAGUAUUUGUUUGGUGUAGGCUUACCUUGGUGUGACGUUUUGAUAACCGUGUAAUUCUCUCUCGGACAAGGUCUCUAUAGGUGACAACUUCCGGUUGGCAGGUCUCUAUAGGUGACCAGGGGAUUCUCUCUAACACAUGCAAAUGCCUCCGUGGAGCUCAUCAGUGGAGCCAUGCAGCCUAUUUUGGCAGUUCACAAUAUCUGCCGUACAGAUGUGGAAUUCGAGUGGAGGAAGCCCAACCAGGUGCAGUUAGCGGAGGACCUGUACCCGGCUGAAGACUACAACCCUCUGUCCCGAGAGCCCACAGAGGAGGAUCUUCAGU